Molecule: ribosomal RNA, 253 nt
Filed under: uncultured bacterium
Lineage: Bacteria
Description: partial 16S ribosomal RNA
Rfam family: Bacterial small subunit ribosomal RNA
Source: RNAcentral
UACAGAGGUCCCAAGCGUUGUUCGGAUUUACUGGGCGUAAAGGGAGCGUAGGUGGCCUUCUAAGUCUGAUGUGAAAGCUCUGAGCUUAACUCAGAAAUGGCAUUAGAAACUAGUUUGCUAGAGGAUUGGAGGGGAGAUUGGAAUACUUGGUGUAGCAGUGAAAUGCGUAGAUAUCAAGUGGAACACCAGUGGCGAAGGCGAAUCUCUGGACAAUUCCUGACACUGAUGCUCGAAAGCUAGGGGAGCAAACGGG